GGGGAAUAUUGCGCAAUGGGGGAAACCCUGACGCAGCGACGCCGCGUGAAGGAAGAAGGUCUUCGGAUCGUAAACUUUUGUCAUCGGGGACGAGAAAGGACGGUACCCGAGGAGGAAGCCACGGCUAACUACGUGCCAGCAGCCGCGGUAAUACGUAGGUGGCGAGCGUUGUCCGGAUUUACUGGGUGUAAAGGGCGUGUAGGCGGGUAGGUAAGUUGGGUGUGAAAUACUGCGGCUCAACCGCAGGGUUGCAUUCAAAACUACUUAUCUUGAGUGCCGGAGAGGGAAGCGGAAUUCCUAGUGUAGCGGUGAAAUGCGUAGAUAUUAGGAGGAACACCAGUGGCGAAGGCGGCUUUCUGGACGGUAACUGACGCUGAGGCGCGAAAGCGUGGGGAGCAAAC
This 401-nucleotide ribosomal RNA is filed under the name uncultured bacterium. RNAcentral's name for it is "bacterial SSU rRNA". It matches the Rfam family "Bacterial small subunit ribosomal RNA", at positions 356 to 773 of the family's 1533-position model. The record is from RNAcentral.